RNAcentral lists this ribosomal RNA (2437 nucleotides) under Escherichia coli. RNAcentral describes it as "partial 23S ribosomal RNA". It matches the Rfam family "Bacterial large subunit ribosomal RNA", at positions 398 to 2819 of the family's 2925-position model. The record is from RNAcentral. Lineage: Bacteria; Pseudomonadati; Pseudomonadota; Gammaproteobacteria; Enterobacterales; Enterobacteriaceae.
UGUGAGCUCGAUGAGUAGGGCGGGACACGUGGUAUCCUGUCUGAAUAUGGGGGGACCAUCCUCCAAGGCUAAAUACUCCUGACUGACCGAUAGUGAACCAGUACCGUGAGGGAAAGGCGAAAAGAACCCCGGCGAGGGGAGUGAAAAAGAACCUGAAACCGUGUACGUACAAGCAGUGGGAGCACGCUUAGGCGUGUGACUGCGUACCUUUUGUAUAAUGGGUCAGCGACUUAUAUUCUGUAGCAAGGUUAACCGAAUAGGGGAGCCGAAGGGAAACCGAGUCUUAACUGGGCGUUAAGUUGCAGGGUAUAGACCCGAAACCCGGUGAUCUAGCCAUGGGCAGGUUGAAGGUUGGGUAACACUAACUGGAGGACCGAACCGACUAAUGUUGAAAAAUUAGCGGAUGACUUGUGGCUGGGGGUGAAAGGCCAAUCAAACCGGGAGAUAGCUGGUUCUCCCCGAAAGCUAUUUAGGUAGCGCCUCGUGAAUUCAUCUCCGGGGGUAGAGCACUGUUUCGGCAAGGGGGUCAUCCCGACUUACCAACCCGAUGCAAACUGCGAAUACCGGAGAAUGUUAUCACGGGAGACACACGGCGGGUGCUAACGUCCGUCGUGAAGAGGGAAACAACCCAGACCGCCAGCUAAGGUCCCAAAGUCAUGGUUAAGUGGGAAACGAUGUGGGAAGGCCCAGACAGCCAGGAUGUUGGCUUAGAAGCAGCCAUCAUUUAAAGAAAGCGUAAUAGCUCACUGGUCGAGUCGGCCUGCGCGGAAGAUGUAACGGGGCUAAACCAUGCACCGAAGCUGCGGCAGCGACACUAUGUGUUGUUGGGUAGGGGAGCGUUCUGUAAGCCUGUGAAGGUGUGCUGUGAGGCAUGCUGGAGGUAUCAGAAGUGCGAAUGCUGACAUAAGUAACGAUAAAGCGGGUGAAAAGCCCGCUCGCCGGAAGACCAAGGGUUCCUGUCCAACGUUAAUCGGGGCAGGGUGAGUCGACCCCUAAGGCGAGGCCGAAAGGCGUAGUCGAUGGGAAACAGGUUAAUAUUCCUGUACUUGGUGUUACUGCGAAGGGGGGACGGAGAAGGCUAUGUUGGCCGGGCGACGGUUGUCCCGGUUUAAGCGUGUAGGCUGGUUUUCCAGGCAAAUCCGGAAAAUCAAGGCUGAGGCGUGAUGACGAGGCACUACGGUGCUGAAGCAACAAAUGCCCUGCUUCCAGGAAAAGCCUCUAAGCAUCAGGUAACAUCAAAUCGUACCCCAAACCGACACAGGUGGUCAGGUAGAGAAUACCAAGGCGCUUGAGAGAACUCGGGUGAAGGAACUAGGCAAAAUGGUGCCGUAACUUCGGGAGAAGGCACGCUGAUAUGUAGGUGAAGUCCCUCGCGGAUGGAGCUGAAAUCAGUCGAAGAUACCAGCUGGCUGCAACUGUUUAUUAAAAACACAGCACUGUGCAAACACGAAAGUGGACGUAUACGGUGUGACGCCUGCCCGGUGCCGGAAGGUUAAUUGAUGGGGUUAGCCGCAAGGCGAAGCUCUUGAUCGAAGCCCCGGUAAACGGCGGCCGUAACUAUAACGGUCCUAAGGUAGCGAAAUUCCUUGUCGGGUAAGUUCCGACCUGCACGAAUGGCGUAAUGAUGGCCAGGCUGUCUCCACCCGAGACUCAGUGAAAUUGAACUCGCUGUGAAGAUGCAGUGUACCCGCGGCAAGACGGAAAGACCCCGUGAACCUUUACUAUAGCUUGACACUGAACAUUGAGCCUUGAUGUGUAGGAUAGGUGGGAGGCUUUGAAGUGUGGACGCCAGUCUGCAUGGAGCCGACCUUGAAAUACCACCCUUUAAUGUUUGAUGUUCUAACGUUGACCCGUAAUCCGGGUUGCGGACAGUGUCUGGUGGGUAGUUUGACUGGGGCGGUCUCCUCCUAAAGAGUAACGGAGGAGCACGAAGGUUGGCUAAUCCUGGUCGGACAUCAGGAGGUUAGUGCAAUGGCAUAAGCCAGCUUGACUGCGAGCGUGACGGCGCGAGCAGGUGCGAAAGCAGGUCAUAGUGAUCCGGUGGUUCUGAAUGGAAGGGCCAUCGCUCAACGGAUAAAAGGUACUCCGGGGAUAACAGGCUGAUACCGCCCAAGAGUUCAUAUCGACGGCGGUGUUUGGCACCUCGAUGUCGGCUCAUCACAUCCUGGGGCUGAAGUAGGUCCCAAGGGUAUGGCUGUUCGCCAUUUAAAGUGGUACGCGAGCUGGGUUUAGAACGUCGUGAGACAGUUCGGUCCCUAUCUGCCGUGGGCGCUGGAGAACUGAGGGGGGCUGCUCCUAGUACGAGAGGACCGGAGUGGACGCAUCACUGGUGUUCGGGUUGUCAUGCCAAUGGCACUGCCCGGUAGCUAAAUGCGGAAGAGAUAAGUGCUGAAAGCAUCUAAGCACGAAACUUGCCCCGAGAUGAGUUCUCCCUGAC